Long non-coding RNA from Cyprinus carpio (common carp), 1040 nucleotides. Lineage: Eukaryota; Metazoa; Chordata; Actinopteri; Cypriniformes; Cyprinidae. The record is from Ensembl.
GACUGUUUUUCUCUUUAUGCCCCCGCUCCUUGUUCCCAUGCGCUUUUUCUCCCCCCAUUGUGUCUUUUUCACUCUUUUUAUCAGCUUCAGAAGAAAAAUGUGGCCGUGCCAAGUCACAGUUACGUUUUACAGCACUUGUACCUGUGUCUUUUAUGGAGGAAGCGGAACUUAAAUGUACAGUAAGGUACAAAUUUCUUGUAAAUUGGUUCAGAAAGCAUUCAUCUUUAACGAGAGAGGAGAUGGGCGUAGAGAGGAAGGGAGUUAGAAUAAGACAUUUUGUAAAAGUUGCCUUGAUGAAUUCGACUUCUCUUGCUGAUAGAUGAGUCUUCUUCACGUCUAUUGAAAUGCAGUGUGAUGAAUGGGCAGGUCAUUGAUUCUGGCAUCGGAAACACAUCCUCCACCCUAAUGCAUAUUUUCCAUAGGAUACAGCAGAUCACACAGGACCAGCACAUCCAUCACUCCCAGGUUUAUUUAUCCACCUAAGAGGGCAGGGUCAUCAUCUUCCUCAAUCUCUCUCUCUCUCUUUUUACCCUCUCCUCAUAUUAAUCAGGACUCGAGACAGUUCCACAGGCUCCAAUUCCACUUCAAAGCCAAACCAUUUCCUGCAGUCUGAAAGGCCUGUCAUCACCAUGUACGAGAGAGAGAGAGAGGGAGAGAGAUGUGAGAAGAGUGGGAGGAAGGCAGGCAAACGGAUAAAGCAUAUCCUAGAGAUGCAUGUGCAGAAGGUGUGCACUACCCGGGAAGCCAAAGUACAUCAGGAUAUGUGUUCGAUUCAGAUGUUGGACCAAAAAAACUAAAUUCAUUCAAUUGCUCACGUUCUUUUUCCCUUCACUCUCUUUGAAUUCCUCAGAAGUGUAAGUGGUGGUAUCCUCAUGUUUGCUGGCUCUGCAUGAAUUACAUUGCAUCCUGUGUGCCAUUGUUGUGAUAAUGGGUAAAGUUAUCUUCAAAGCGGAAUGGGGAGCGCCGCAGGGUCAGAGAGAGGCAGCCUUCAUGACGUGCCUAAUCCGUGAAAUUAUACCUGCCACCCGCCUCCACGUUAG